RNAcentral lists this long non-coding RNA (373 nucleotides) under Ricinus communis (castor bean). RNAcentral describes it as "long non-coding RNA (RCOM_LNC000081)". Lineage: Eukaryota; Viridiplantae; Streptophyta; Magnoliopsida; Malpighiales; Euphorbiaceae. The record is from RNAcentral.
CACUACUAACUACAACAAGGAGGAGGUCCAAGAAAGCACAAUAAUGGAUUUCCAAAACAAGGGCAGCACCUUACACCUGUUAUGCAAUUAUUGACCCACAUAUUUUAUGGUAACAGCACUCUAGAAUUGGAAGCUAAGCAACAUACGACAGGUGUUUUCCUUCGAAAAAAGGUUUGUUAUGUUUGUGCUAAUUCACUACUCACCAGGACUACUUCAUUUACAAGUACAUAUAUAAUACUGCCUAAUAUCAUCACGCAUGCAUGCCUAUAAUGGUUUGUGUUGUUGUUGGUCCUCUCUCUUGUAAAUGAGACUUUUUAUAGUAUUGCAGUUGUUGUUGCUAUGAAACAAUGAGUUUAUUCUAAGAUUAUAAAGA